UGGAGUUCCUUACCUGCUGGAGAUCUUCUGAAGCAGAGAGAGUGGGAGCUGUGCUGGAGGCGCGACAUGAGACAUCUCCCAGCAGAAAGCACAACCAAACUCUUCUCUCCCUCUCCCCGCGGGGACACCGAACAAUUAGAAGUUGCAUUUUGGGGUGAUUAUAACACACCUCGGGGGCGUUCAGGAGGCAAAAAGCUAAAGAGCAAAGGACUUAACGACCUGGAAAGGCAGCGAUCCCUGGCAGCCGUUCCCAACGCACGCAGCACCCAGCAGUGCGGGGCAGCCCCGGGUCAGAGCUGCCGAGCGCACGGAGCUGCCCGCAUUUUUUUAUUAUUAUUGUUAUUAUUUUUAAUUGAAGCUUUGUUUUUCUCGCUUUAUCAGUGAGCCUAUAUCCACCCUUCCUCCCCUUCGCGUUUUCUCCUAUUUACCUCCCAGCAAACAGAUAUUUGUGGCUCGCAAUGAGGCAGACGUGCCGCCCCGUGCGGGGCGGAGCGGGGCCGGGGAUGGAGCCGGGCGGGCUCGGAGCUCCCCCUGCCGCCCGCCGCGGGGCCGGGAGCGGAUUCGGCUCUUUAUUAAUGAACGGGCUGCAAUUAGCGAGCGGUUCCCGGCCCCGGGGCCCUGUGACAGCGUCAGCGAUGCCUCAACUAUGCGGGACGGGGCGGCCGUGCGGUGCAGCUCUCUUACCCCUUCCCCUCUGCCUUUCCC
Phasianus colchicus (ring-necked pheasant) is the source of this 705-nucleotide long non-coding RNA. RefSeq lists it as uncharacterized. NCBI's taxonomy places the organism in Eukaryota, Metazoa, Chordata, Aves, Galliformes, Phasianidae. The record is from RefSeq and is a predicted model, not a curated record.